Molecule: ribosomal RNA, 506 nt
Filed under: uncultured bacterium
Lineage: Bacteria
Description: partial 16S ribosomal RNA
Rfam family: Bacterial small subunit ribosomal RNA
Source: RNAcentral
AUUGAACGCUGGCGGCAGGCCUAACACAUGCAAGUCGAACGGUAGCACAGAGGAGCUUGCUCCUUGGGUGACGAGUGGCGGACGGGUGAGUAAUGUCUGGGAAACUGCCCGAUGGAGGGGGAUAACUACUGGAAACGGUAGCUAAUACCGCAUAACGUCGCAAGACCAAAGAGGGGGACCUUCGGGCCUCUUGCCAUCGGAUGUGCCCAGAUGGGAUUAGCUAGUAGGUGGGGUAACGGCUCACCUAGGCGACGAUCCCUAGCUGGUCUGAGAGGAUGACCAGCCACACUGGAACUGAGACACGGUCCAGACUCCUACGGGAGGCAGCAGUGGGGAAUAUUGCACAAUGGGCGCAAGCCUGAUGCAGCCAUGCCGCGUGUAUGAAGAAGGCCUUCGGGUUGUAAAGUACUUUCAGCGAGGAGGAAGGUGUUGAGGUUAACAACCUCAGCAAUUGACGUUACUCGCAGAAGAAGCACCGGCUAACUCCGUGCCAGCAGCCGCAGUAA